RNAcentral lists this ribosomal RNA (230 nucleotides) under uncultured bacterium. RNAcentral describes it as "partial 16S ribosomal RNA". It matches the Rfam family "Bacterial small subunit ribosomal RNA", at positions 562 to 791 of the family's 1533-position model. The record is from RNAcentral.
AAAGCGUGCGCAGGCGGUUAUGUAAGACAGAUGUGAAAUCCCCGGGCUCAACCUGGGAACUGCAUUAGUGACUGCAUAGCUGGAGUACGGCAGAGGGGGAUGGAAUUCCGCGUGUAGCAGUGAAAUGCGUAGAUAUGCGGAGGAACACCGAUGGCGAAGGCAGCCCCCUGGGUCAAAACUGACGCUCAUGCACGAAAGCGUGGGGAGCAAACAGGAUUAGAUACCCGAGU